This 471-nucleotide ribosomal RNA is filed under the name uncultured bacterium. RNAcentral describes it as "partial 16S ribosomal RNA". The record is from RNAcentral.
CACGUAGUUAGCCGGUGCUUAUUCAUGAGUUACCGUCAUAUUCUUCACUCAUAAAAGCAGUUUACAACCCGAAGGCCUUCAUCCUGCACGCGGCGUUGCUCCAUCAGGCUUUCGCCCAUUGUGGAAGAUUCCUUACUGCUGCCUCCCGUAGGAGUCUGGACCGUGUCUCAGUUCCAGUCUGACUGAUCAUCCUCUCAAACCAGUUACGGAUCGUAGGCUUGGUGAGCCAUUACCUCACCAACAACCUAAUCCGACGCGGGCUCCUCCCAAAGCGCUCGAAAGCUUUAAUCCGAAGACCAUAUGCGGCAUUAGCCACCCUUUCGGGCAGUUAUUCCUCACUUUGGGGCAGAUUCCCACGCGUUACUCAGCCGUCCGCCGCUCGUCAGCAAGUAGUAAACUACUCCUGUUACCGCUCGACUUGCAUGUAUUAGGCACGCCGCCAGCAUUCAUCCUGAGCCAGGAUCAAAACUC